GUGCCAGCAGCCGCGGUAAUACGGAGGGUGCAAGCGUUAAUCGGAAUUACUGGGCGUAAAGCGUGCGUAGGCGGUUAUUUAAGUCAGAUGUGAAAGCCCCGGGCUUAACCUGGGAACUGCAUUUGAUACUGGGUAACUAGAGUUUAGUAGAGGAGAGUGGAAUUUCCGGUGUAGCGGUGAAAUGCGUAGAUAUCGGAAGGAACACCAGUGGCGAAGGCGACUCUCUGGACUAAAACUGACGCUGAGGUACGAAAGCGUGGGUAGCAAACAGGAUUAGAAACCCCCGUAGUCC
Molecule: ribosomal RNA, 292 nt
Filed under: uncultured bacterium
Lineage: Bacteria
Description: partial 16S ribosomal RNA
Rfam family: Bacterial small subunit ribosomal RNA
Source: RNAcentral